AACGAACGCUGGCGGCAGGCUAACACAUGCAAGUCGAGCGCACCCUUCGGGGCGAGCGGCGGACGGGUUAGUAACGCGUGGGAACAUACCCUUUUCUACGGAAUAGCCUCGGGAAACUGAGAGUAAUACCGUAUAAGCCCUUCGGGGGAAAGAUUAUCGGGAAAGGAUUGGCCCGCGUUAGAUUAGAUAGUUGGUGGGGUAAUGGCCUACCAAGUCUACGAUCUAUAGCUGGUUUUAGAGGAUGAUCAGCAACACUGGGACUGAGACACGGCCCAGACUCCUACGGGAGGCAGCAGUGGGGAAUCUUAGACAAUGGGCGCAAGCCUGAUCUAGCCAUGCCGCGUGUGUGAUGAAGGCCUUAGGGUCGUAAAGCACUUUCGCUAGGGAUGAUAAUGACAGUACCUAGUAAAGAAACCCCGGCUAACUCCGUGCCAGCAGCCGCGGUAAUACGGAGGGGGUUAGCGUUGUUCGGAAUUACUGGGCGUAAAGCGUACGUAGGCGGAUCAGAAAGUAUAGGGUGAAAUCCCGAGGCUCAACCUCGGAACUGCCUUGUAAACUCCUGGUCUUGAGUUCGAGAGAGGUGAGUGGAAUUCAAGUGUAGAGGUGAAAUUCGUAGAUAUUUGGAGGAACACCAGUGGCGAAGGCGGCUCACUGGCUCGAUACUGACGCUGAGGUACGAAAGUGUGGGGAGCAAACAGGAUUAGAUACCCUGGUAGUCCAUACCGUAAACGAUGAAUGCCAGUCGUCGGUAGCAUGCUAUUCGGUGACACACCCUAACGGGAUUAACAUUCCGCCUGGGGAGUACGUCGCAAGAUUAAAACUCAAAGGAAUUGAUGCCGCGGGGGCCCGCACAAGCGGUAAGCNGAAUNCCAGCACACUGGCGGNCGUUACUAGUGGAUCCGAGCUCGGUACAAGCUUGGCGUAAUCAUGGUCAUAGCUGUUUCCUGUGUGAAAUUUUUUCCCUCAA
RNAcentral lists this ribosomal RNA (967 nucleotides) under uncultured bacterium. Its description in RNAcentral is "bacterial SSU rRNA". It matches the Rfam family "Bacterial small subunit ribosomal RNA", at positions 28 to 1058 of the family's 1533-position model. The record is from RNAcentral.